Non-coding RNA from Caenorhabditis elegans, 66 nucleotides. NCBI's taxonomy places the organism in Eukaryota, Metazoa, Nematoda, Chromadorea, Rhabditida, Rhabditidae. The record is from Ensembl.
UUUUUUCGGAUUUUUUCGGAGUUCGGAAUUUCGGAUUUUUUUUGGAAUUUUUAAAAAUUUUCGAAA